This 207-nucleotide ribosomal RNA is filed under the name uncultured bacterium. Its description in RNAcentral is "partial 16S ribosomal RNA". It matches the Rfam family "Bacterial small subunit ribosomal RNA", at positions 568 to 774 of the family's 1533-position model. The record is from RNAcentral.
CACGCAGGCGGUUUACUAAGUCCUUUGUGAAAGCCCGGGGCUCAACUCCGGAACUGCAGAGGAUACUGGUAGACUAGAGACAGGUAGAGGCUAGCGGAAUUCCUGGUGUAGCGGUGGAAUGCGUAGAUAUCAGGAAGAACACCUGUGGCGAAGGCGGCUAGCUGGGCCUGUUCUGACGCUCAUGUGCGAAAGCGUGGGGAGCAAACA